Molecule: ribosomal RNA, 1804 nt
Filed under: Escherichia coli O10
Lineage: Bacteria; Pseudomonadati; Pseudomonadota; Gammaproteobacteria; Enterobacterales; Enterobacteriaceae
Description: partial 23S ribosomal RNA
Rfam family: Bacterial large subunit ribosomal RNA
Source: RNAcentral
CGGGACACGUGGUAUCCUGUCUGAAUAUGGGGGGACCAUCCUCCAAGGCUAAAUACUCCUGACUGACCGAUAGUGAACCAGUACCGUGAGGGAAAGGCGAAAAGAACCCCGGCGAGGGGAGUGAAAAAGAACCUGAAACCGUGUACGUACAAGCAGUGGGAGCCUCUUUAUGGGGUGACUGCGUACCUUUUGUAUAAUGGGUCAGCGACUUAUAUUCUGUAGCAAGGUUAACCGAAUAGGGGAGCCGAAGGGAAACCGAGUCUUAACUGGGCGUUAAGUUGCAGGGUAUAGACCCGAAACCCGGUGAUCUAGCCAUGGGCAGGUUGAAGGUUGGGUAACACUAACUGGAGGACCGAACCGACUAAUGUUGAAAAAUUAGCGGAUGACUUGUGGCUGGGGGUGAAAGGCCAAUCAAACCGGGAGAUAGCUGGUUCUCCCCGAAAGCUAUUUAGGUAGCGCCUCGUGAAUUCAUCUCCGGGGGUAGAGCACUGUUUCGGCAAGGGGGUCAUCCCGACUUACCAACCCGAUGCAAACUGCGAAUACCGGAGAAUGUUAUCACGGGAGACACACGGCGGGUGCUAACGUCCGUCGUGAAGAGGGAAACAACCCAGACCGCCAGCUAAGGUCCCAAAGUCAUGGUUAAGUGGGAAACGAUGUGGGAAGGCCCAGACAGCCAGGAUGUUGGCUUAGAAGCAGCCAUCAUUUAAAGAAAGCGUAAUAGCUCACUGGUCGAGUCGGCCUGCGCGGAAGAUGUAACGGGGCUAAACCAUGCACCGAAGCUGCGGCAGCGACACUAUGUGUUGUUGGGUAGGGGAGCGUUCUGUAAGCCUGUGAAGGUGUGCUGUGAGGCAUGCUGGAGGUAUCAGAAGUGCGAAUGCUGACAUAAGUAACGAUAAAGCGGGUGAAAAGCCCGCUCGCCGGAAGACCAAGGGUUCCUGUCCAACGUUAAUCGGGGCAGGGUGAGUCGACCCCUAAGGCGAGGCCGAAAGGCGUAGUCGAUGGGAAACAGGUUAAUAUUCCUGUACUUGGUGUUACUGCGAAGGGGGGACGGAGAAGGCUAUGUUGGCCGGGCGACGGUUGUCCCGGUUUAAGCGUGUAGGCUGGUUUUCCAGGCAAAUCCGGAAAAUCAAGGCUGAGGCGUGAUGACGAGGCACUACGGUGCUGAAGCAACAAAUGCCCUGCUUCCAGGAAAAGCCUCUAAGCAUCAGGUAACAUCAAAUCGUACCCCAAACCGACACAGGUGGUCAGGUAGAGAAUACCAAGGCGCUUGAGAGAACUCGGGUGAAGGAACUAGGCAAAAUGGUGCCGUAACUUCGGGAGAAGGCACGCUGAUAGGUAGGUGAAGCGACUUGCUCGUGGAGCUGAAAUCAGUCGAAGAUACCAGCUGGCUGCAACUGUUUAUUAAAAACACAGCACUGUGCAAACACGAAAGUGGACGUAUACGGUGUGACGCCUGCCCGGUGCCGGAAGGUUAAUUGAUGGGGUCAGCCGCAAGGCGAAGCUCUUGAUCGAAGCCCCGGUAAACGGCGGCCGUAACUAUAACGGUCCUAAGGUAGCGAAAUUCCUUGUCGGGUAAGUUCCGACCUGCACGAAUGGCGUAAUGAUGGCCAGGCUGUCUCCACCCGAGACUCAGUGAAAUUGAACUCGCUGUGAAGAUGCAGUGUACCCGCGGCAAGACGGAAAGACCCCGUGAACCUUUACUAUAGCUUGACACUGAACAUUGAGCCUUGAUGUGUAGGAUAGGUGGGAGGCUUUGAAGCGUGGACGCCAGUCUGCGUGGAGCCGACCUUGAAAUACCACCCUU